UGAUGAAAACGCACAAACAACAACUUGAAUUUCUUCAGCCGACUAC
RNAcentral lists this small nuclear RNA (46 nucleotides) under Eremothecium gossypii ATCC 10895. Its description in RNAcentral is "AgSNR47 (AGOS_AgSNR47)". RNAcentral also lists the same sequence under 1 other name. The record is from RNAcentral. Lineage: Eukaryota; Fungi; Ascomycota; Saccharomycetes; Saccharomycetales; Saccharomycetaceae.